Molecule: long non-coding RNA, 1572 nt
Filed under: Rattus norvegicus (Norway rat)
Lineage: Eukaryota; Metazoa; Chordata; Mammalia; Rodentia; Muridae
Description: long non-coding RNA NONRATT025674
Source: RNAcentral
UUGGACUAACUGAUCUCCAAGGUGCCUUCAGCUUUAAGCUGUCUCAUGUGAUCCCAUUGCUUACAUAUAACAUGCAGGAGCCCCAGUUUAGCCAGCCAGCCAGUCUUCACAUUUCCCUAAUAGACUCUGGCCUCAGAAGUCACCCCUGGUGCUAAGGAGCAAGGGCUACUUGCUUAGGCUCCUGUCGCUGUAACCCAGUCACGAGCUGAACUCACCUCCCCAGGGUUUGCUGUGCUGUCACAGUUGUAUGGCUGCCCUUUCUCAGGAGGUGACCCUUCUUUGUGUUACUUGAAAAGACAGUAGCAAGAAGCAGAGGGGAGUAAGUGCCAUGUUCCCCUCACCCCACAGCCCACCAUUACACUGCCUCAUGUUCUCGGGCAGUGGUACCCAUCUCCAUGAGAAAUGGGUGGCAGCGGCUCCUGAGCCCUUGCUGGUCCUCUUAGGCACGCUGAGCCUGUUGGGAGUGGAAGGCCUGGUGCUAGCCACUCAAUAGGGACAGUCGCCACGGUCUCCAUGUAGUAAGUAAGGCCUAUGAAGAGGUUAAGUCAGUCUUUCCUGGUGCUUUUUGAUUGGCUUAAUCAAUUAUUACUCAUCUUAGAUGGGGCUGUAACUUGUGGAGUGGAUACAAUUGGAUUAGGUGAAGAGAGACAGUUGGGGAGCUUUGAAGAGAUUAAAAUGGCUGCCGAUCCCAUAAUUAAACUGCCACAAACAAAAGCAAUGGUGUUUUAAACAAAAACAAGGAAAGAAAGAGAAAGAAAGAAAACUUGGGGAAUCCAACGGAUUUGAAAUGAACCAACAAGUGUUUGUGAGUCUGAGAUGGAGGAAGCGACCCAAACCUGACUAAUCGAUUCCAUGAAAGAAACCUGCCUUUAACUCUGGGGCGAGCAGAGAGGAGUUGCUUAAACCAAUGGGACUAAAACCUGACGGGACAAUAACGCCUUUGGAGGAAGCGCUCAGCCAGUAUUCUGUCAUCGAAGAGACCAGCUCGGACACAGACUGAAAGCGCCGUCACCUGCUCCCUCUCAAUAUGGCUUUUAUCAGCAUCUUUUCUCUGUAGCUCCAGGGGAAUCUUCUCUAGAACGUUUAUGCCCUCGCUUUGGCUAGAAACACAUUAACUGGUUUACUCAUCGGGAAUCCAGCAUAUUUAAGAGGUAAUCCUGUGUUUUCUGCAACAUUGAGGCAUUCGUACAGAGCUGCAGUCAGGCAGAGUUGCGGGGCUAGAAGCAGAAGCUGCCAUCCCAUUGCACCAGGACGGAGGAUGGGACUUCACUUGGCAAAGCAGCCCUGGUCAAAUCUGGCAGUCCUAUUGCCGGGAAUUCCUAGCCGAAGAUUCGGCCGUGUCCUUCCACCCAUCGUAUAAACCGCCCCUCUGAGUCUCUCCAGCGACCCAAGGCACAGGAGAGUCCGAGGAGCUGCUAAACAAGGGCUGAGGCAAGCAACUCCUUAGGUCAGCGCUGACUGAAUGGAAGCCAGGCAGCUGCUCCGAAAGCCUAGCCCCACCCUUCAUUUCAGUUUUAUACAAAUGUGGAAACACACACAUACACGCACGCAUACGCGCGCGCGCGCGCACAC